UACGGAGGAUGCGAGCGUUAUCCGGAUUUAUUGGGUUUAAAGGGUGCGUAGGCGGACUGGUAAGUCAGUGGUGAAAUACUGCAGCUUAACUGUAGAAUUGCCGUUGAUACUGUCAGUCUUGAGUAUGGUUAAGGUAGGCGGAAUGUGUAAUGUAGCGGUGAAAUGCUUAGAUAUUACACAGAACACCGAUUGCGAAGGCAGCUUACUGAACCAUAACUGACGCUGAGGCACGAAAGCGUGGGGAGCGAAC
Molecule: ribosomal RNA, 250 nt
Filed under: uncultured bacterium
Lineage: Bacteria
Description: partial 16S ribosomal RNA
Rfam family: Bacterial small subunit ribosomal RNA
Source: RNAcentral